Molecule: ribosomal RNA, 450 nt
Filed under: uncultured bacterium
Lineage: Bacteria
Description: bacterial SSU rRNA
Rfam family: Bacterial small subunit ribosomal RNA
Source: RNAcentral
GCUAAGGAUCUUCCGCAAUGGGCGAAAGCCUGACGGAGCGACGCCGCGUGGACGAUGGAGGCCGGAAGGUUGUGAAGUCCUUUUCUCGGGGGGGAACAACCGUGCCAGGGAAUGGGCGCGGGGUGACGCGGACCGAGGAAUAAGCCCCGGCAAACUACGUGCCAGCAGCCGCGGUAACACGUAGGGGGCGAGCGUUGUUCGGAUUCAUUGGGCGUAAAGGGCGCGCGGGCGGCCGGGCGAGCCUGCCGUGAAAUCCCCGUGCUCAACACGGGGGGGUCGGCGGGGACUGUCCGGCUGGAGUACCGGAAGCGGCGGCGGAAUUCCUGGUGUAGGGGUGAAAUCUGUAGAUAUCAGGAAGAACACCGAUGGCGAAGGCGGCCGCCGGGCCGGAUACUGACGCUGAGGCGCGAAGGUGCGGGGAGCGAACAGGUUUAGAAACCCUUGUAGUCC